RNAcentral lists this ribosomal RNA (480 nucleotides) under uncultured bacterium. RNAcentral's name for it is "partial 16S ribosomal RNA". It matches the Rfam family "Bacterial small subunit ribosomal RNA", at positions 28 to 523 of the family's 1533-position model. The record is from RNAcentral.
GACGAACGCUGGCGGCGUGCCUAACACAUGCAAGUCGAGCGAGUGGAUCUCCUUCGGGAGUGAAGCUAGCGGCGGACGGGUGAGUAACACGUGGGCAACCUGCCUCAUAGAGGGGAAUAGCCUUUCGAAAGGAAGAUUAAUACCGCAUAAGAUUGUAGCUUCGCAUGAAGUAGCAAUUAAAGGAGCAAUCCGCUAUGAGAUGGGCCCGCGGCGCAUUAGCUAGUUGGUGAGGUAACGGCUCACCAAGGCGACGAUGCGUAGCCGACCUGAGAGGGUGAUCGGCCACAUUGGGACUGAGACACGGCCCGGACUCCUACGGGAGGCAGCAGUGGGAAAUAUUGCACAAUGGGGGAAACCCUGAUGCAGCAACGCCGCGUGAGUGAUGACGGCCUUCGGGUUGUAAAGCUCUGUCUUCAGGGACGAUAAUGACGGUGCCUGAGGAGGAAGCCACGGCUAACUACGUGCCAGCAGCCGCCGUAA